This is a long non-coding RNA of Oreochromis niloticus (Nile tilapia), 408 nucleotides long. RefSeq lists it as uncharacterized. The transcript is spliced from 3 exons. Lineage: Eukaryota; Metazoa; Chordata; Actinopteri; Cichliformes; Cichlidae. The record is from RefSeq and is a predicted model, not a curated record.
GACCACAGAGCCCAACCUUACAUCAGAGCCACGCCAGAGAACCGUAUGUGUGGAGAACCAGGGCCGUCCGGAAUAACGCACACUACAAGACUGCAAAACAGUACCCCUCCACAUAAUGACCAGGACACCGUAUGAUCCCAAACGUUUUUGGAAUGUUUAAGGAGUAUCGACCUUCCAGAACAACAAAAACCCGGAGCUUCGUGCAACAGUGGAGAGUCAGAACCGAUCUUCAUCAGCGGCCCUACAACAACACCGAGUGAGUGGCUGCCUCGCGAUUUCUCUGAUGUUUUUGAGUAUAGUAUAUCAGAUUUCGAUCUAGUUCAUAUACCCACCACCCCAGAAUGUGCCAGAAAUAGCGUUGAUUCACACAUAGAUUUUGAAGAAGACGGCAUAACAGACUCUCAAAUA